Molecule: long non-coding RNA, 590 nt
Filed under: Lepidothrix coronata (blue-crowned manakin)
Lineage: Eukaryota; Metazoa; Chordata; Aves; Passeriformes; Pipridae
Description: lncRNA (ENSLCOG00000006038.1)
Source: RNAcentral
UUUGUUAAGCUAAGAUUUCUCUAACACAGGUGAAGCUCCCAGCUAUAAACCUUAAAUAUCCAAGCAGAAUGCCGAAUGUUUCUACAAGCAAGGAAUUUAGUGGGGCAAAUAAGCUUUCCUUUCCACCUGUGCCUGCUCAGAGAAAAAUUGAAGCAGUAAACUUUAGCAAAUUAAUUAACAAUGGUUAUGGGACUGACUGGUUUCAGCAGUGCACUGGAUGGGAAAAAAAGAUUCAAGAACCAUCAGAAAAUAGUGAACAGUCCAAAGAUUCAGAGCCAUCUCAGUCUGAACCACCACCUGCAAGCAAUGAGUUAAAGCCACCAUUUCAGGGAUGUAGUAAGUAACUUGAAAGACUGUUAGGGAAAGUAAACCCUUGUAUGGCCUAUGUAGUGCACUAUUUACAUGUCUGUUAGAUUACUUUUGUGGUUGAACUCACCCCUGAUUGAGAAGUUAAUUUUGUUUAUAAGAUGGAUGAACUUCAUUGUGCUUGAUUACAGCAAAUUUUAAAGUACAAGCAACAGCUGUUAGUGCUUAUUCCUAGACUUUUUGUUAAUAUAAUAAACAAAGCAAAACUGCAUUUUUGUCCUACA